GACGAACGCUGGCGGCGUGCUUAACACAUGCAAUUCGAACGGAAAGACCCUGCUUUUGUGGGGUGCUCGAGUGGCGAACGGGUGAGUAACACGUGAGUAACCUGCCCUUGACUUUGGGAUAACUUCAGGAAACUGGGGCUAAUACCGGAUAGGAGCUCCUGCUGCAUGGUGGGGGUUGGAAAGUUUCGGCGGUUGGGGAUGGACUCGCGGCUUAUCAGCUUGUUGGUGGGGUAGUGGCUUACCAAGGCUUUGACGGGUAGCCGGCCUGAGAGGGGGACCGGCCACAUUGGGACUGAGAUACGGCCCAGACUCCUACGGGAGGCAGCAGUGGGGAAUAUUGCACAAUGGGCGGAAGCCUGAUGCAGCAACGCCGCGUGCGGGAUGACGGCCUUCGGGGUGUAAACCGCUUUCGCCUGUGACGAAGCGUGAGUGACGGUAAUGGGUAAAGAAGCACCGGCUAACUACGUG
Molecule: ribosomal RNA, 468 nt
Filed under: uncultured bacterium
Lineage: Bacteria
Description: partial 16S ribosomal RNA
Rfam family: Bacterial small subunit ribosomal RNA
Source: RNAcentral